Long non-coding RNA from Amphimedon queenslandica, 2139 nucleotides. RefSeq lists it as uncharacterized. The record is from RefSeq and is a predicted model, not a curated record. Lineage: Eukaryota; Metazoa; Porifera; Demospongiae; Haplosclerida; Niphatidae. The transcript is spliced from 8 exons.
UAUCAGAGACCAGAUAAAUGAGUACUUUGGUAUCAUAUUGCCACAGGGUAUCUUCUUGCUUAUGUUGCUGCUAAACUAGCUCUGGGACGUCCCUACUGGAACUAAGGAACUCUGUUACCACAGCAACUAUGGCUUGUUUUGAACAAUCCCUGGAUUACGUCGUGGUGAAAAUACAAGUUGGGAUUUUUCCAAGUUUACUCACAUUAGCACUGAGAUGGGUAGCAGCAUGAAUAGUGUCGUAGAAGUUAUGGCAGUUGGAAGGAAGGAAUUAAUGACGAGGCACUGCAGAUAAGGAUGGUCAAUGAGUCAAGCUUGCCUUGGGUGUGAUCCUAAAUUCUUACAACUUAGAAAAGAGGAUCUUAAUUAUCGAACUGAUAAGCAUAUUUUACAGUAGCAGCUGCUUUGGACUCUGGUUGUUCCAUUGAUGAGUUGUACCAGUUAACAUGUAUUGACAAAUGGUUCCUUUACAUAAUGAAGCAUUGACUGUAAUAACAUGCUAGGAAAAAUGACCAACAAACACUCAAUAAAGAAAUGCUAUUGUAUUUGAAGCAGCUGGGUUUCUCCAACCAACAGAUUUCUUGUUUCAUAAAUUCAAUGGAGCUAGUCAUAAGAGGACUCUUGUAAAUCUCUCUCAGUCCCUCCCUCUAUUAAACAAAUAGACACUGUCACUGCUGAAUAUUCUGCCCACACUAAUUAUUUAUACUUAACUUAUAAUGAAGAAACAAAUGAUCUAGACUUUUCUGGUGGUGCUAUAUGGUACUUGGGUCUGGUGUGUACAGGACUGGCAGUUCAGUUGAGUUUGAUUCUUAUGCUGUGAGUUGCAUCAGAGAAUUAGGAAACUAGGAAAGAACACAAUAAUGGUUAAUUAUAAUCAAGAGACAGUCAGUACUGAUAAUGAUGAGUGUGAGAGGUUGUAUUUUGAUGAGCUCUCAUUUGAGACAGUGAUGGACAUAUAUGAUCUUGAGCAGCCUGAAGGACUUAUUCUAUUAAUGGGAGGACAACUACCAAAUAAUAUAGCAAUACCUCUAUACCACCAGAAGGUAAGGGGUACUUCCCUAGAGAUGAUAGGCAGUGCAGAGAACAGGUACAAGUUCUCAUGUUUAUUUGACACAAUUGAAGUACAACAACCAUGCUAAAAAGAACUACCACAGAUUGAAGUAAGGAGGAUCAAAUUAUUAGAUCACACAUAAAAUUAUUACCGUAUUUGCCUGAUUAGAAGCCCAGGCGUUUAUUCAUUAACAGGGGAAAAAUUGCAUAAAAAUAAAAAAAUCUGCCAAAAGUGGGAUUGAACCCAUGUCACCAGACUGCUUCAAGAUAUAAGCUAUUUGUAGCCUUCUAAAGAUAAGACUAUCUAAAUUGAGUAAAAUAUGCACAUCCAUAGUGAGAAUAUUUUAAGGAUGGGCGUUUAUUUAAGGUGGGCUUCUACCUUCAUACUAGUCUUCGUGUGUAUUUCUUCAAUCAUUAUGGCCACUGGAGGAGCUGGUGGAGACGCUACUCUCGAGGAUCGACUCAAGAAUCUGCUGGAAGCCGUCGAGAGAUCCAACACUCAGAAUGAGCAGAGUAUCGCAAGGAUAUCCAAGCGUUUCGAAGAGGUAGCAGAUCUGGCUGCCAAGAAACCCAAGCUGGAUAGAUCCUCAAUUGAUUUUAAGAGCAAGUCUACGGCGUGUCACAACGUGUGCAGGCAGCCCGCCCCCCCCACCCUAGUUAUCAACUAUGCCUUCACUAUUGUUGUUAUAUCAUUUUAACUCUACUGUUAUUUGUUCCUUAAUUCACCAAAAGUUAGGGGAUAGCUGAAUGCUGUAUACAAGAAAAAGAGCUGCAGUCUACAAGGAUAUACUGUCUAAACUAUAAUUGUUAUUAUUAAUGUUUUUUUUGUUGUGUACUUUUCUCGGUUAAUUUAUAGGUCAAGUUUCUGUGUUGUGUUGAUGUUUGUUGUUCUUAGAGCCAGAGGAUGUGGUCAAGGUUUUAAAAAAAAAGCAUGAGGUGGGUUUUUUCCUGGGGUUGCUUUGGGACCAAGCGCCCCAAAUUAUACAAGCUCCGACCGGGUCCCCUUCCUCCUGACUCUUAUGUAUUCGAUUACUGUGUUAUUACUGUUGAUUUUAAAAUGAUUCAAAGGCCUGCACUGGCCGCCGACCUCAA